AGAAGGUCCCAAGGGUUUGGCUGUUCGCCAAUUAAAGCGGUACGUGAGCUGGGUUUAGAACGUCGUGAGACAGUUCGGUCCCUAUCUGUUGUGGGCGCAUGAUAUUUGAGAGGAGCUGCUCGUAGUACGAGAGGACCCGAGUGGACGAACCUCUAGUGUACCAGUUGUCGCGCCAGCGGCAUAGCUGGGUAGCUACGUUCGGAAGGGAUAAGCGCUGAAAGCAUCUAAGUGCGAAGCCCACCUCAAGAUUAGAUAUCACUCCGCCAUUAGGCGGACUAAAGGCUCCUUGGAGAUUACAAGGUGAUAGGCCACAGGUGUAAGUGCAGUAAUGCAUUCAGCCGAGUGGUACUAAUAAGCCGUGAGGCUUACUUA
This 372-nucleotide ribosomal RNA is filed under the name Candidatus Zhuqueibacterota bacterium. Its description in RNAcentral is "candidate division KSB1 bacterium (marine metagenome) partial 23S ribosomal RNA". It matches the Rfam family "Bacterial large subunit ribosomal RNA", at positions 2557 to 2925 of the family's 2925-position model. Lineage: Bacteria; Pseudomonadati. The record is from RNAcentral.